UACGUAGGGUCCGAGCGUUGUCCGGAAUUACUGGGCGUAAAGAGCUCGUAGGUGGUUUGUCGCGUUGUUCGUGAAAACUCACAGCUCAACUGUGGGCGUGCGGGCGAUACGGGCAGACUGGAGUACUGCAGGGGAGACUGGAAUUCCUGGUGUAGCGGUGGAAUGCGCAGAUAUCAGGAGGAACACCGGUGGCGAUGGCGGGUCUCUGGGCAGUAACUGACGCUGAGGAGCGAAAGCGUGGGGAGCGAACAGG
This 253-nucleotide ribosomal RNA is filed under the name uncultured bacterium. Its description in RNAcentral is "partial 16S ribosomal RNA". It matches the Rfam family "Bacterial small subunit ribosomal RNA", at positions 524 to 776 of the family's 1533-position model. The record is from RNAcentral.